This 235-nucleotide ribosomal RNA is filed under the name uncultured bacterium. Its description in RNAcentral is "partial 16S ribosomal RNA". It matches the Rfam family "Bacterial small subunit ribosomal RNA", at positions 28 to 271 of the family's 1533-position model. The record is from RNAcentral.
GAUGAACGUUGGCGGCGUGCCUAACACAUGCAAGUCGAACGAAAGUAGCAAUACUUUAGUGGCGCACGGGUGAGUAACACGUAGCUUACCUCCCUCUCAGCGCGGGAUAACGACUCGAAAGAGUUGCUAAUACCGCAUAAGCUCACGGGUUCUAGAGACUUGUGAGAAAAGGUGCAAAUCACUGAGAGACGGGGCUGCGGCCCAUCAGCUAGUUGGCGCGGUAAAGGCGCACCAA